Molecule: long non-coding RNA, 3260 nt
Organism: Oenanthe melanoleuca
Lineage: Eukaryota; Metazoa; Chordata; Aves; Passeriformes; Muscicapidae
Exons: 4
Source: RefSeq, a predicted model, not a curated record
GGAAAGACUUCUGAGAUCACCGAGCCAUAACCUUUGACGGAUCUUCACCGUGCCGCGUCCAGUCGUUCCUUAAACACCUUCAGGGAUGGGCGGCGCAGCGCAGGUUGUUCAGCACCUGCAUGACGUACAGGAUGGUGGUGUCUCUCAGGCACGCCGUGCUCUCGGGGCUCUCCUGCGGCGGGGACACAGAUGGAACGGGUCAGCAGUGAGGUGGGAGCUGCUGCCCCAAAAGCCGUCACCCCGCCGGUUUUACUUACGGUUCGCAUGGCCGCCUGCAGCUUGUGCAGCCAGUGCCGCAGCCUGCCCGAGGGCUGGUGAGCAGGAUCCACCUGCAGGGAGAGAAGCGGGGUCCACUAAAUUCCAUUUCCGUUGGAAGAGCCUGGUGUUGCAUCUGUGGUUGUUCACCUGCAGGCAUAAACCGAGAGAGACUGAAAAACUCUCAUCCUGACUUCUGGCAAUAUUGUACAACCCCGCCCCAGCCAGCCUUGAGGGGUCUGAAACCAGGAUGAAAUUUGGCUCAGCAUCCUUCACGUCCCCAUAUACCCUUGGAAAACAUCUUCCUGAUCCCCAAAGGGCUGCAGAAAACAUGCACCUUGUCACUCAGGUCUUGAAUUCAGCAUCCCCUCUGCCUCGCCCCCCGCCAGCCCACAGCCCCCUGUUGCCAGCAGUACUCACAAACUGUCUCAUCUUGUCCGCAGCCUUCUGCUCCUCGUGUGCAAUGUUCUGGUACUUGGAGAGCCUGCAUCCCUGCCUCAGGGUGUCAUGGGGAAAGGCAGCCCCCAGGCUGACCCCCAGCACCAGCACCAGCACCAGCAGUGGGGUGAGGCUCAGGCACGACAUUUUGGCAAUGAAGGCUUGACAGUCAGCGAUGGAUAACGACGGGAUGGGCUUUCCCUGGUUCAGCCUGUGCUGUCACACCACCAUGACCCCUUGAGCCUCCUCUCUCAGCCUUUCCUCGUGGGAGAUAUGUUCCUGUCCAUCAUCUCGAUGGCCUGGAUUGGACUCCCUCCAGUCCCUGCCAUGUCUGUCUCCCACUGAGGAGCCCAAAACUGGACCCAGCACUUUAGGGGUGACCUCAGCAGCGCUGAGAAGAGGGAAGGAAUCACCUUUCUUGGCCUUCUGGAAACACUUGAGCUCCAGAGGUUUCAUCAGCCCAUUUCUCCAGCUUGUUGAGGUCUACUGUCCCUGAGGACAGUGGGACAAUCCCCUGCUGGGUCAUCCCCUUCUCCCAGUUUGGUGUCACCACUGACCUUGGUAGAUCGAGGGUCCCCUGGGCCUCAUCAUCCAGAUCAUUAAUGAAGAGGUUGAGCAGGAGCAGCUGUUGACUCACAGGGUCCAUCCAGCCCUUCCUGAGCCCUUGCCCUGCUCCAACUGCAUCCCAGAGGGCUCAGAUCUUUCCUGGAAAACCACGGCGGAGAUGAAGAAUGGGAAGGGGCAGUAUGGACUGGACAGUGGCUCAUUCCACUUUGUCCAAACUGGAUGCAGACACAGCUUGGAGGAGAGCCAGGACAGCAAAAUGUGGUGCUAAAGCCCCAGAGCGUGGAGGGCUCAAGUAUUCCAGUCAUGGAUGUGGCCACUGGGCCAGGCUGCCUCCCAGGCUCCAGCACCAGCCUCCCUCACAGCAGCAGGUUAGGGAAGGUCAGUCAUUUAAGGCCUGGUGUGGGCUGGGGUCCCUUGUUUGCCCUUUUGGUGAACAGGACAAUGACUCUGUCUUUCCUUUCUCUCCCAUUAAAGAAACCCACAAGAGAUUAAUUUUUAUUCAACACAAUGAAGUUCAUCAUCAAUACAGCUCUGAAAUACAAGUCCAAACCAGCAUCAGUAAGUCCAUUUCUGUCAUCCAAACAGGCACAGCUCAGCUGGAAUAAAGGGCACCUUAGCAGAAAAUCUCACCAGAUGUACAAUAAAUGUGGCCCCCAGUGAGAGAGGGGUGAUCCACCACCAACCACGGUCCCACAGCUCCAAUCCCUGCUGAGACACUUUCGUGUCACCCGUCGGGUCACAGAGCAGCAUCACAUCCUCGUGGGACAGCUUGGGCUCCUGUUUCCCAUCACUGUGGCUUUUCUCUCCCAGCUGUCAUUUCUGUUUGGAGAAGUAAAGUGAAACCUCACCUCUUCACACAUGAAAAGGAAAUUAAGAAAAGCCAAAGCUGUGGGGUGAAGCUGGGCCAUGAGAGCAGCCCCCAGCACUCAUGGUAGCUGGGAUGGAGGGAUGAGGAUCUUCCCUGGGCACCUUGCUCAGAUAUUUGUGCACCCCCAGCCCGCAGGGGCCUGGCUGAGCAGCAGUCAGGGCUUUUUCUUAAUGGAUGGGGUGUUGCCAUCCUGGGCUUUGGUGUGUGUCGUGCCCAGCAAUGUCGCAUUCCAUCAUAGCCCAGCCAGCAAAGCAUGGCUGCAUUUGCCACAGCUCCUCCAAACCAUGCCAGUGCCAGCUGUCCCUGGCAGUGGAGAGUUCCCCAAAGCCAGCAUGGGCUGGGGACAUCAGGGACCCAGAACAAUCAUCAUUCCAGUCCCAGCUGCCGAUGGUGCUGUGCCAGGAGAGCAGCAUGGAUAGUGAUGAUGGAACCCCUUCCUUGAGUUCACCCAGCCUGGAGGCUGGAGCCACUCAGGCUUGCUUGGAGCAAGAAAUUCCAGGUGUGUGGGAUUUCCAGGUGCGAGAACAAAAGUGAAACCUGACUGUGGACAGGGCUGGCGUCAGCACUGGGUGAGGCAAUCACUCUGUGCUGACUCAUGGGCUCCUGCAUGGCACAAGUGUGGGAAAGCUGUUUGCCACAAGCCAUGGCACUGCAGUGGGUCAGGAUGAGCCCAGAUGGCUCCUGACCCGUCAGUGGGCUAGUCUGGGAGGAAGUGACUCCUGCUAACCUGACUAGUCUGGGUAGAGAAGACAGCAAGAACAGAAAGCGUGCCCCAAAAGAGGCAGCUUUGAAAUAAACCCCUGGGUGACGUGUGGGAGCCCUGCCAUGGCCCCAUGGUGCCAGGACAGAGGGCAGCAGGUGGGCUCUGCUCAUCAGCCAUCACCAGACCUGUCCCUGCCAGCCCAGGGUGUUGGUGCCACCAAAGUGCCCCCAGCCCCACUCCAUCCCCAGAGCCCUUCAGCACCUCCCAGCUCGUGUGAGCUGCAGCAGCCACGCAAUGGCUGGUGCUGCUCUGCUGCACCACCCUGCACACUGGUGAUGCAAUCAGUCCAAUCCCUGCUGUUCAGUCAUGGCUGUAUGGUGCAGGCAGGGAAGGGAUCUUAAAUUAAAUUACAGAUGUAAUUAGUGAGCA